UGGGGGAUAUUGCACAAUGGAGGGAACUCUGAUGCAGCGACGCCGCGUGAGGGAAGACGGUCUUCGGAUUGUAAACCUCUGUCUUUGGGGACGAAAAGAUGACGGUACCCAAGGAGGAAGCCACGGCUAACUACGUGCCAGCAGCCGCGGUAAUACGUAGGUGGCAAGCGUUGUCCGGAAUUACUGGGUGUAAAGGGAGCGUAGGCGGGGAGACAAGUUGAAUGUCUAAACUAUCGGCUUAACUGAUAGUCGCGUUCAAAACUAUCACUCUUGAGUGCAGUAGAGGUAGGCGGAAUUCCUAGUGUAGCGGUGAAAUGCGUAGAUAUUAGGAGGAACACCAGUGGCGAAGGCGGCCUACUGGGCUGUAACUGACGCUGAGGCUCGAAAGCGUGGGUAGCAAACAGGAUUAGAUACCCUGGUAGUCCACGCCGUAAACGAUGAUUACUAGGUGUGGGGGGACUGACCCCUUCCGUGCCGGAGUUAACACAAUAAGUAAUCCACCUGGGGAGUACGACCGCAAGGUUGAAACUCAAAGGAAUUGACGGGGGCCCGCACAAGCAGUGGAGUAUGUGGUUUAAUUCGAAGCAACGCGAAGAACCUUACCAGGUCUUGACAUCGAGUGACGAACUUAGAGAUAAGUUUUUCCUUCGGGACACAAAGACAGGUGGUGCAUGGUUGUCGUCAGCUCGUGUCGUGAGAUGUUGGGUUAAGUCCCGCAACGAGCGCAACCCUUAUCAUUAGUUGCUACGCAAGAGCACUCUAAUGAGACUGCCGUUGAUAAAACGGAGGAAGGUGGGGAUGACGUCAAAUCAUCAUGCCCCUUAUGACCUGGGCUACACACGUACUACAAUGGUGAUCAAACAGAGGGAAGCAACACAGCGAUGUGAAGCAGAACCCGAAAAAUCAUCUCAGUUCAGAUUGCAGGCUGCAACUCGCCUGCAUGAAGUCGGAAUUGCUAGUAAUCGCGGAUCAGCAUGCCGCGGUGAAUACGUUCCC
Molecule: ribosomal RNA, 996 nt
Filed under: uncultured bacterium
Lineage: Bacteria
Description: bacterial SSU rRNA
Rfam family: Bacterial small subunit ribosomal RNA
Source: RNAcentral